CAGAGAGUGUGGGUGCUAGAGCCUUCUGCAGGGCUCGGGACACAUUCCCUGACACACCCAGGCCAAUAAUUUGCACUGGGAUACAGAGAGGAGGCUCGGGGCCUCUGUCAACAGAUUGCCAUCCACUUAGAUGAGUAAAUGGUGCUGGCCCCGUGGUGUGGUGACAUCUGUCUGUCUGUCUGGUCUAGCAUCCAGCACAGUCCUGGGCACAUGAAUUGGUGCUGAUGUUGCUGAAGGAGUGAAUGGGGGCCAGAAGGAAGGAGUGCUGGGGAAGAAGUAAGCCAUGGAGCAGGCAGGAACCACGGACAGAGGCCUCCCAGUCCACUUGGGGACAUAUCCGCAGAUGUGUGAACUCAGAGAGAUGUUCAAGUUUCCUAAGAGGGCUUCAAUCAUGGCUCACAGACUACUAAUUUCCAGUUUCUUCUCUGCCAGUCUGGAUGCCCAUGUGAACUUUAGAGAUAUCCAUCAGCUCCAUCAAUUCCCUCAACUACAUCUACCUAGCUUUUGAGCCCAGAAGAACCCAAUCAUGUGUGUUCUCCUCAGCUCCCAGGCUACUGAGCAAUGCUGGAGAAAAAUCACAAAACUAUACAGUUUGGUGUCUCUCCAGAAUUAUGGCUUCCAGCUUGAGUUGGGAAUUCAGAAUUACUUCAAAAUAUUUAAAUUUGUUCCUGGUCAGUUUCCUCCUUCAUUUCCCAGUUUCAUUUAUCACUCUAACUUGUUACCCAUCGCUGUCUGCUAUUAACCUUGCCUCCUUUUACACAGAGAAAACAGAGGCCAUCAAAUGGCAUUUCCCAUCACUCCAUCACUCCACCUCUGUCAAUGAAUCCACCAGUAACAUCUCAGAGAUCCUUCUGUCUAGCACUGAUGAUCUUAUUGUAUCAGUUACUCCUCCUUCCUUUUGUAUUUUCAUGCUCCUAUUGCCUGCCAACAUGCUUUAGCUGAUCUCAUCUAAAGAAACAAUGAUAACAACCACAAUAAACUAACAAACAAUAAACCAUCUUUAACAGACCUUAUCUUUUCCUCUUUUGCGCCACCUUCAAGCUUCCUAAACUCGGAUUUAUUCCUCAGUCCAUUACAAUCUGGUUUCUAAUUAAACAAUUUUUUGCCAGAAUCACCAAAAACUUCUUAAUUGCUAGCCUCCAAGGUCCUUUCUUGAACCUCAUUGUUUUCUUUCUUUUAAAAGUCAGGUUCACUGAAGUAUAAUUUACGUACAAUAAAA
Molecule: long non-coding RNA, 1219 nt
Filed under: Pongo abelii (Sumatran orangutan)
Lineage: Eukaryota; Metazoa; Chordata; Mammalia; Primates; Hominidae
Description: lincRNA
Source: RNAcentral